GAGUGGCGGACGGGUGAGUAACACGUAGGUAACCUGCCCCGGAGCGGGGGAUAACAUUUGGAAACAGAUGCUAAUACCGCAUAACAACAAAAGCCACAUGGCUUUUGUUUGAAAGAUGGCUUUGGCUAUCACUCUGGGAUGGACCUGCGGUGCAUUAGCUAGUUGGUAAGGUAACGGCUUACCAAGGCGAUGAUGCAUAGCCGAGUUGAGAGACUGAUCGGCCACAAUGGAACUGAGACACGGUCCAUACUCCUACGGGAGGCAGCAGUAGGGAAUCUUCCACAAUGGGCGCAAGCCUGAUGGAGCAACACCGCGUGAGUGAAGAAGGGUUUCGGCUCGUAAAGCUUUUGUUGUUGGAGAAGAACGUGCGUGAGAGUAACUGUUCAUGCAGUGACGGUAUCCAACCAGAAAGUCACGGCUAAUUACGUGCCAGCAGCCGCGGUAAUACGUAGGUGGCAAGCGUUAUCCGGAUUUAUUGGGCGUAAAGCGAGCGCAGGCGGUUGCUUAGGUCUGAUGUGAAAGCCUUCGGCUUAACCGAAGAAGUGCAUCGGAAACCGGGCGACUUGAGUGCAGAAGAGGACAGUGGAACUCCAUGUGUAGCGGUGGAAUGCGUAGAUAUAUGGAAGAACACCAGUGGCGAAGGCGGCUGUCUGGUCUGCAACUGACGCUGAGGCUCGAAAGCAUGGGUAGCGAACAGGAUUAGAUACCCUGGUAGUCCAUGCCGUAAACGAUGAGUGCUAGGUGUUGGAGGGUUUCCGCCCUUCAGUGCCGGAGCUAACGCAUUAAGCACUCCGCCUGGGGAGUACGACCGCAAGGUUGAAACUCAAAGGAAUUGACGGGGGCCCGCACAAGCGGUGGAGCAUGUGGUUUAAUUCGAAGCUACGCGAAAGAACCUUACCAGGUCUUGACUUCUUGCGCUAACCUUAAGAGAUAAGGCGUUUCCUUUCGGGGACGCAAUGACAGGUGGUGCAUGGUCGUCGUCAGCUCGUGUCGUGAGAUGUUGGGUUAAGUCCCGCAACGAGCGCAACCCUUGUUACUAGUUGCCAGCAUUAAGUUGGGCACUCUAGUGAGACUGCCGGUGACAAACCGGAGGAAGGUGGGGACGACGUCAGAUCAUCAUGCCCCUUAUGACCUGGGCUACACACGUGCUACAAUGGACGGUACAACGAGUCGCAAGCUCGCGAGAGUAAGCUAAUCUCUUAAAGCCGUUCUCAGUUCGGACUGUAGGCUGCAACUCGCCUACACGAAGUCGGAAUCGCUAGUAAUCGCGGAUCAGCAUGCCGCGGUGAAUACGUUCCCGGGCCUUGUACACACCGCCCGUCACACCAUGGGAGUUUGUAACGCCCAAAGUCGGUGG
Molecule: ribosomal RNA, 1357 nt
Filed under: Limosilactobacillus reuteri
Lineage: Bacteria; Bacillati; Bacillota; Bacilli; Lactobacillales; Lactobacillaceae
Description: Lactobacillus reuteri 16S ribosomal RNA
Rfam family: Bacterial small subunit ribosomal RNA
Source: RNAcentral